AUGAACGCUGGCGGCGUGCCUAAUACAUGCAAGUCGAGCGCACAGACGAGGAGCUUGCUCCUCUGACGUUAGCGGCGGACGGGUGAGUAACACGUGGAUAACCUACCUAUAAGACUGGGAUAACUUCGGGAAACCGGAGCUAAUACCGGAUAAUAUAUUGAACCGCAUGGUUCAAUAGUGAAAGACGGUUUUGCUGUCACUUAUAGAUGGAUCCGCGCCGCAUUAGCUAGUUGGUAAGGUAACGGCUUACCAAGGCAACGAUGCGUGGCCGACCUGAGAGGGUGAUCGGCCACACUGGAACUGAGACACGGUCCAGACUCCUACGGGAGGCAGCAGUAGGGAAUCUUCCGCAAUGGGCGAAAGCCUGACGGAGCAACGCCGCGUGAGUGAUGAAGGUCUUCGGAUCGUAAAACUCUGUUAUUAGGGAAGAACAAAUGUGUAAGUAACUAUGCACGUCUUGACGGUACCUAAUCAGAAAGCCACGGCUAACUACGUG
RNAcentral lists this ribosomal RNA (496 nucleotides) under uncultured bacterium. Its description in RNAcentral is "partial 16S ribosomal RNA". It matches the Rfam family "Bacterial small subunit ribosomal RNA", at positions 29 to 507 of the family's 1533-position model. The record is from RNAcentral.